AAGAGUUUGAUCAUAGCUCAGGAUGAACGCUAGCGGUGCGCCUAACACAUGCAAGUCGAACGGAGUUUAAAAGUAGCUUGCUACUUUUAAACUUAGUGGCAAACGGGUGAGUAAUAAGUUGGUACCUACCUCUAAGUCAGGGAUAACCCAGAGAAAUCUGGAUUAAUACCGGAUGUGUCCUACGGGAUAAAGAUUUAUCGCUUAGAGAGGGGCCUUCUUCCUAUCAGCUAGUUGGUAAGGUAAUGGCUUACCAAGGCAAUGACGGGUAAUUGGUCUGAGAGGAUGACCAGUCACAAUGGAACUGAGACACGGUCCAUACUCCUACGGGAGGCAGCAGUGAGGAAUCUU
Molecule: ribosomal RNA, 348 nt
Filed under: Candidatus Altimarinota bacterium
Lineage: Bacteria; Candidatus Altimarinota
Description: bacterial SSU rRNA
Rfam family: Bacterial small subunit ribosomal RNA
Source: RNAcentral